This 483-nucleotide ribosomal RNA is filed under the name uncultured bacterium. RNAcentral's name for it is "partial 16S ribosomal RNA". It matches the Rfam family "Bacterial small subunit ribosomal RNA", at positions 28 to 523 of the family's 1533-position model. The record is from RNAcentral.
GACGAACGCUGGCGGCGUGCUUAACACAUGCAAGUCGAACGAUGAAGCUGGAGCUUGCUCCAGUGGAUUAGUGGCGAACGGGUGAGUAACACGUGAGCAAUCUGCCCUUGACUCUGGGAUAACUGCGGGAAACUGUAGCUAAUACCGGAUACGACACCUUGGGGCAUCCCGGGGUGUGGAAAGAAUUUCGGUCAAGGAUGAGCUCGCGGCCUAUCAGCUUGUUGGUGAGGUAAAGGCUCACCAAGGCGACGACGGGUAGCCGGCCUGAGAGGGUGACCGGCCACACUGGAACUGAGACACGGUCCAGACUCCUACGGGAGGCAGCAGUGGGGAAUAUUGCACAAUGGGCGAAAGCCUGAUGCAGCAACGCCGCGUGAGGGAUGACGGCCUUCGGGUUGUAAACCUCUUUUAGCAGGGAAGAAGCGAAAGUGACGGUACCUGCAGAAAAAGCACCGGCUAACUACGUGCCAGCAGCCGCAGUAA